CACACCGCCCGUCACACCAUGGGAGCUGGUUCUACCCGAAGGCGCUGCGCUAACCCGCAAGGGAGGCAGGCGACCACGGUAGGGUCAGCGACUGGGGUG
Molecule: ribosomal RNA, 99 nt
Filed under: uncultured bacterium
Lineage: Bacteria
Description: partial 16S ribosomal RNA
Rfam family: Bacterial small subunit ribosomal RNA
Source: RNAcentral